Molecule: ribosomal RNA, 407 nt
Filed under: uncultured bacterium
Lineage: Bacteria
Description: partial 16S ribosomal RNA
Source: RNAcentral
CUACCCUUAACCCUUCCCCCCCCGUUUGGUUGGUUCCGUCCCGUUUCCGUCCCCCGUUACCCCCGAACCGUAAACUUUAAACGUUUCCGGGCCCGGGGCCCGGUCCGGUACCGUACCCUACGAAGUUAGUUAACGGAAACCGUCGUCGGGGCCGGACGGACCGGGUAACCCUAAACCAACUAGUCGAACGUAAACGGUACGGACGGGACGGUAGUAAGGGGAAAGGGGACGUUCGUUCGUCCCUCCCUAGUUAAGUUACGGCCGGGACGGGACGGGUAGUAAGUAUCGACGUAAGAUCUCGCGUGGUGGAGGACUACGUAGAAGACAUACACNACUCGUCGAGGAGAGGUGGGGAUCUUCGGACCUCACGCUAUCAGAUGAGCCUAGGUCGGAUUAGCUAGUUGGUG